UUUUCCCUCUGGUAGUUCCUUGAUUAGGGUAUUGUCUACUGUAUGAUUCUCUUCUCUUGUCUACCUCAAUGGGUUGAUGCCUGCUUAUUGUAAAAUCUUCAAUCCAGACACAGGCAACAGAAUUCUACAGAGGAUUUGAACAGCACGGCUAAUGAAAUUAUGGAAGUUCUCAUCCCCAGGAUCUGGAGCAUCGGCUGCAAUGUUGCCUCUUUUGCAAAAGAAAGCUAACUGGCACUAAUCAAAAGCUGAAAUGGUUUCCAUCUGCAGUUUGUUACGUGAUCCAGUUCUGACACUGUUUGACUCACAAGGGUGUGAUCUAGGGGUGAAGGCACCAGGCUAGAAAGCAGCAGACGACUCCAUCUCAGCUCAUGUCUGGGGAGCUCUUUGCGGCAACAUGACCUGCAAUUGUCCACUUCAAGGUUAGUUUUACACAUCUUACUAUUCACUUUCCCUGACAAUGGAAGUGUCUGUGGUAGACCAGUCCAAGCUCUCCAUACAGAAUCCAAAGCAGAAGACGACAACGAGGAGCAGAUUCAAAAAAAAUGCCAGUCUUUGUAGCCCAAGAUCUCAGCUCACAUGGAGGACCUCAUCAUAGGCACGCUGGAUUCAUUUCUAUGGCCGUUAAGGGCAUGGUAAGGAGCCCAUGUUGAAAGCAGGGGGCUCACUGAAAUGCUUAUUGUGGAUUAUUACACAUAGCUCAAACUGACUCAUUUCAAGAAAUGUACAAAGGCCUGUUAUGCUCGGACAGAGCCUUCAAAUCAUUUCACCUGGAGGAUUGGGUCGCUAAUCAGUUGACUGAGCUGCUAAACUCCACUCAACCUUCCAACUCUUUUUUGGAGCCUAUCAGUUGCCAGUUGCUAGAAACAGGAGCAGACCUCAGA
Non-coding RNA from Python bivittatus (Burmese python), 881 nucleotides. NCBI's taxonomy places the organism in Eukaryota, Metazoa, Chordata, Lepidosauria, Squamata, Pythonidae. The record is from RefSeq and is a predicted model, not a curated record.